Molecule: long non-coding RNA, 1706 nt
Organism: Capsicum annuum
Lineage: Eukaryota; Viridiplantae; Streptophyta; Magnoliopsida; Solanales; Solanaceae
Exons: 2
Source: RefSeq, a predicted model, not a curated record
GUUUAGGAAACAAACCUUCUAUUCUAUCAUGAAUGAUUCUUGAGAUCAUUUUGUUCAAGAAAUCACUCAAACUAAUUGGUCUUAAAUCAAAACAAGUUUGAAUAAUAUCUUUUUUAGGGAAUAAACCAUAUUAGCGUGUGUAAUGACUUUAGGCAGAGUUUUGCCUUCAAAGAAGGCAUGAACAACCCCAACUAUAUCCUGACCCACAAUGUUCCAACAAGAUUGAUAGAAACGACAAGGGAAUCCAUCUGGCCCACAGACACAAUCAGCAUUUAAUGUAAACACCACCUUUUUUAUCUCUUCUUCAGCAGGUAACCUAUUAAAAAAUAAUUAUCUCCAUUAGUGAUUUUAGCAGAAAUAUGUUGUACCAGUAAAUAAUCAGUGUUGCUUUGAUCUCCUAAAAAUUGAUUUUGAAAGAAUCUAACAACCUCCUCAAUUAGUUGUUCUUCCAAUUUUGCCCAGUUUCCGUCACUUCUCUAAAUCCUUUUCGGUGUUAGCCUCUUUCUUCUUCCGUUCAUAAGACAAUGAAAGAAUUUUGAAUUUUUGUCACCCUUUGUGAAUCAUUGAAUACUAGCUUUUUUCCUCAAAAAUGCUUCUUCACAGUGUAACUAUUUUUUAAUUUCUGCAUGAGCUUUUAGCAAAAUAAUCCUGUUAGUUGUUAUGGGGAACUCCUCAAAUAGAUCUUCUUUUAUUCUCAGUAUUUCCUCUCUAAUAAUAAGAUAUUUGAAGAUAUCUCCAAAUUUUAUUUACUUCCCUUAGAAUGAGCUUGUUUUGUCUUCUUCUACUUCUAUUUCAACUAAUAAAACACGUCACCUAUCUCUACUGCCACCCAGUUCAGUUUUAUCACAUCUAAAAAUAUCAUCUUUAUCAUUCAAGAACCUGAGAAAUCUGAAUAGUUUGACAAACUAUUGGCUUUAAGUACCAUAAGUGAUCAAUAAAGGAGCAUGGUCAGACCCAAUCCUAGCUAAAUGUUGUAAAUCAGUAUUACCAAACACAUCUUGAAAAUUAUAAUUUACCACUACUUUGUCUAAUCUCUUGAAAAUGCAAGCUUCAUCAGCUCUUCUAUUCCACCAAGUAAAAGGACUAACAGUGAAAGGAACAUCAAAUAAUUCACAAGAAUUAAUGCAAAAUCCUCAUAUUCUUGUGGGUACACAGGUUCAGCUUUAGGUAUUGCAUUGUUACAUGUAUUAUUCUGAAGUACUUUAUGAGACAUUAUCUCCUGCAACUCACGCAUCGAGGAUGAAUUGAAUGCCUUUGUUGUCAGAGAUAAUGAUAACUCAGAGCUUUCACCUCUAUCCAAUGGCUUUUUUUUCACCUAAGAUCAUUUAAAAUAGUUCAUGAUAUCUAGCUUCAACUAAUUCCUUCAUCUACAAGAGUUCUUAAUCCACUUCAUGGCUAACCAAAGAUACAUCAUCCAUAAUCUAUUGAUUUUUGUUUGAAGAUGUGGUUCUUGGAAACUCUAUCAAGUUACAUUUGUUACCCCUAGUGUGAUGCUCCUUCAUUAUACCUUUUUGAUUAUCAUUCUUCAGUUUGUCAUUUGAAUUAGACAAUGCUAAAGCUAGUUGUUGAUCUUUCUGUUGGGACUUACCUUGUUGAUAUUCUUGUUCAUUUUGUGGAGCAAAUUCAUAUUCCGCUUCUUCCUUAUUUUGAUAAGUUUCUACUGUGCUGAAUUCUUUUAUAUGAUGAUUGGCAAAUGCCUUGAGGAU